GCGUAUCAGCCUUUUGGGUGUGAUUAUGUGGAGCGUGAGGAGCUAAUCGCCUUCAUCUUUGCAUUUUCGUGCACUUUGGGUGUACUUGCUCGCGUGGUAGGUUAACAUCAAUUUUGAUCAUCAUAAAAUGAUUGAAGGAAUGUAGCUUCGAUCUCGUAUUGAAGUGUUAUAGACUCUGGUAGAUGUGAUGAUCGGGAUUGAGGAUUGCAACGGAUACCCUUCGGGGCUACCCGUCUGAUCUCUGAGAGUUACUCUGGUGCCGAAAGCGUGCUUACGGUAUCAAAGUUGACGUUCAAUAGGUUAGAACGGGUUAAAUUCGUUAAGGAUGUUGACGUAACG
This 339-nucleotide ribosomal RNA is filed under the name uncultured Glomeromycotina. RNAcentral describes it as "eukaryotic LSU rRNA". The record is from RNAcentral. Lineage: Eukaryota; Fungi; Glomeromycota.